This 657-nucleotide ribosomal RNA is filed under the name Peptostreptococcaceae bacterium oral taxon D17. Its description in RNAcentral is "bacterial SSU rRNA". It matches the Rfam family "Bacterial small subunit ribosomal RNA", at positions 382 to 1060 of the family's 1533-position model. Lineage: Bacteria; Bacillati; Bacillota; Clostridia; Peptostreptococcales; Peptostreptococcaceae. The record is from RNAcentral.
CCUGAUGCAGCAACGCCGCGUGAACGAUGAAGGUCUUCGGAUCUAAAGUUCUGUUGCAGGGGAAGAUAAUGACGGUACCCUGUGAGGAAGCCCCGGCUAACUACGUGCCAGCAGCCGCGGUAAUACGUAGGGGGCUAGCGUUAUCCGGAUUUACUGGGCGUAAAGGGUGCGUAGGUGGUCCUUCAAGUCGGUGGUUAAAGGCUACGGCUCAACCGUAGUAAGCCGCCGAAACUGGAGGACUUGAGUGCAGGAGAGGAAAGUGGAAUUCCCAGUGUAGCGGUGAAAUGCGUAGAUAUUGGGAGGAACACCAGUAGCGAAGGCGGCUUUCUGGACUGCAACUGACACUGAGGCACGAAAGCGUGGGUAGCAAACAGGAUUAGAUACCCUGGUAGUCCACGCUGUAAACGAUGAGUACUAGGUGUCGGGGGUUACCCCCCUCGGUGCCGCAGCUAACGCAUUAAGUACUCCGCCUGGGGAGUACGCACGCAAGUGUGAAACUCAAAGGAAUUGACGGGGACCCGCACAAGUAGCGGAACAUGUGGUUUAAUUCGAAGCAACGCGAAGAGCCUUACCUAAGCUGACAUUCCUCGGACAGGUGUUUAAUCACACCCUUCCUUCGGGACUGAGGUGACCGGUGGUGCAUGGUUGUCGUCAGCU